Molecule: long non-coding RNA, 1080 nt
Organism: Balaenoptera ricei (Rice's whale)
Lineage: Eukaryota; Metazoa; Chordata; Mammalia; Artiodactyla; Balaenopteridae
Exons: 3
Source: RefSeq, a predicted model, not a curated record
UGCCUGCUACAAACAUGGCGACCGCAGAACGCUCUAGAGCUCAGAUCUUUCGUCAGCUGUUGGCGUGAGCUGUGUUGGAAAUUAUGUUCCCCUGAAACCGCGCGCCGCAGCGCCUGUCUGUGGCAAGAAGUGGAUGCGAAGGGCAGGGCGGACGUCCUGCUUCGGGUUUCAGCAUCGAGGCUCCGAGCAGAGGGGUAGCGCUGAUGUCGGCUCCAGGCCGGGCGAUGCGGGGGAGGGCAGCAGCUCGCCCCCUUCCCCGCUGUUUCCAGAAUCCCUACGGGUGUCAGCGUGGCCAGAGCUGUCCACCUGUACACGCUGGACCCCAGUAUACCUGUCAGCUUCAGCUGAGUAGAUGUAUCUGGGUUUUUUUUUUUUUUUUUUUCCCCUCAGUCAUGAGGGAUGGAGGCUUCAGUUUAGCAGACAAACUGUCUGGGGCCCAAAAGAGAAAAAAAUCUAAGCCUGUUCAAGAAGUGAAGCAAAAGCUAUGCAGAACCCUGACAUUCCUUGUUCCUGUAACCUUUCUGAGUUAUGAACCAAUCCCGGUUAUGAUGGAACUGGCAUGGCCGUCAUAUGUAUGCCUACCUGGCAUGAUAUAUUUAGGAAUGAAAAAUGCACGUUACAUCUGUGAAGUGAAGAAACUGCACAACGUAAAAGUUGAGAAUUAUUUUUUAUUUGGUGGCUUUUCUGAAGACCUAAGCCAGGAAGACAGCCUCUCAGAUCGCUUUGGGGGACUGCUCCAAAGGGGCAAGGGAGGAGCCAGGAUAUAUACGAGUUUUGCAACAAAAACCAGAACUGGACCCAGUUUUGAAAGAGAAAAUUAGCUACGUACCACAUGGUGCUCGAAAUAGCUGAACAAAUGCAGAAUGAACUGAUAAGCUAACAGGCCUCCAAACCCAGAACAAGUUCCCGGAGCCGGUAAAAGCAGCCGAAUUCUUGAGUGUGAUCAUAGAUGGGAACACUGGUAUCUCUUCCAAAGAAAAUCUCUCCCUCUUUGUGUGCCGUUUUCACCAGAGUGAAGAAGGCAAUGCACCCUUACUGCUUGCGCCCUGGACGGAUUGCUCCCACUCCCACACUCCCCGC